UGCAGUCGAACGAAGUAGCAAUACUUAGUGGCAGACGGGUGAGUAACAUGUGGGUAUCUACCCUUUGGCCUGGAAUAACACGAGGAAACUUGUGCUAAUACCGGAUAAGUCUUUACGGAGAAAGCUUUAUGCACCAUUGGAUGAGCCCGCACUUGAUUAGUUUGUUGGUAGGGUAAUGGCCUACCAAGACUAUGAUCAAUAGCUGAUUUGAGAGGAUGAUCAGCCACAUUGGGACUGAGACACGGCCCAAACUCCUACGGGAGGCAGCAGUGGGGAAUCUUGCACAAUGGAGGAAACUCUGAUGCAGCGAUGCCGCGUGAGUGAAGAAGGCCUUUGGGUUGUAAAGCUCUUUCGUCGGGGAAGAAAAUGACUGUACCUGAAUAAGAAGGUCCGGCUAACUUCGUGCCAGCAGCCGCGGUAAUACGAAGGGACCUAGCGUAGUUCGGAAUUACUGGGCUUAAAGAGUUCGUAGGUGGUCGAAAAAGUUGGUGGUGAAAUCCCAGAGCUUAACUCUGGAACUGCCAUCAAAACUUUUCAGCUAGAGUAUGAUAGAGGAAAGCAGAAUUUCUAGUGUAGAGGUGAAAUUCGUAGAUAUUAGAAAGAAUACCAAUUGCGAAGGCAGCUUUCUGGAUCAUUACUGACACUGAGGAACGAA
This 655-nucleotide ribosomal RNA is filed under the name uncultured bacterium. RNAcentral describes it as "bacterial SSU rRNA". It matches the Rfam family "Bacterial small subunit ribosomal RNA", at positions 56 to 757 of the family's 1533-position model. The record is from RNAcentral.